AGCUCCAUUAGUGUAUUCAAAAGUUGUUGCUGUGCGUACAUUCUGAUUAGUGAACAUUGUAGAUGCAUUCCAAUUCAAAAUCUGACGCUCCUUAUAGGUUAAAACGCUCGUAGUCGAUGUUUGAACUCCACGAAAUGGUCCCGCGAAAGCGGCGCACUGUGGCGUGAGGUUCCUUUCUAGCAACGCUUUUACGAGCGCUUCUAGACAUUCACCGAAAGGAAAUCGGAUUGCUCAACGAAGGCCUUUGGCCGUUGAACGUUUCAGUUUGGAAUGAUGAAAAAUGACUUUGUCUCUUUUCGUCGGUUUAUGAGAUUAAGUAAUGAGUAAUGGAAGCGGUCAGGGCAGUGACUACUUUGGCGACAGGGGUGAAAUCCAGUGACCGCCAAAAGAGUACCUAAUGCGAAAGCACUCUGCAGGGACGCCUUCGUCA
RNAcentral lists this ribosomal RNA (430 nucleotides) under Kelleromyxa sp. Its description in RNAcentral is "partial small subunit ribosomal RNA". It matches the Rfam family "Eukaryotic small subunit ribosomal RNA", at positions 587 to 975 of the family's 1831-position model. Lineage: Eukaryota; Evosea; Eumycetozoa; Liceales; Liceaceae. The record is from RNAcentral.